UGCGGGUGCGAGUGCUGCCUUGUAGCGGCAUUGGCCUACUCUUUUUCGAAAUCUACAAGGGUGUCUUUAACGUGCAAGAGAUAUGGUUCUCUCUUAACACGGGUCAGCCAUUUAUCGUCCCCUUCCGACGGACUAUCAUCGUUUCCUCAAGACCAUACUCGCAGAUGGUGUCAAGGGAGAGCCGAAAAUUGAGUUCCUGAAAUUUUCA
RNAcentral lists this long non-coding RNA (208 nucleotides) under Mytilus galloprovincialis (Mediterranean mussel). Lineage: Eukaryota; Metazoa; Mollusca; Bivalvia; Mytilida; Mytilidae. The record is from RNAcentral.